AUGCCCCACCGCGAAACCAAUGAUAGUUCCAUCCAACACGGCUCCCCCUCCUCCUCCGACGGCAUCAUCAAGAUCCCUGUUACCAUGCAUGAUCCGGAUUUCAACGACAUUGACACAAAUAUGAGCAUUUCGUGUGACCACGACCAACCGUGGAGAGGUGUGUUGCAUUUGAAGGGAUUCACGACGGGAGAUUUUUUUUUCUUGGCUAGGAAGGAAGGAAGAAAUUGUGGAGUAGUUCGGUGGAUUGAUUUAGAGUGGCUAGACUCAAUGGAGAAGGCAUUGCCCCAGUUAUGGGAUAUAUAUGAGGAGAGCAAGAGAGAUGGGACCAAGGACAAUCUGGAGAGUUCAUUUCUGGUUCACUCUCUGACCUAA
RNAcentral lists this ribosomal RNA (372 nucleotides) under Triticum aestivum (bread wheat). RNAcentral describes it as "partial small subunit ribosomal RNA". The record is from RNAcentral. Lineage: Eukaryota; Viridiplantae; Streptophyta; Magnoliopsida; Poales; Poaceae.